Molecule: microRNA, 23 nt
Filed under: Caenorhabditis brenneri
Lineage: Eukaryota; Metazoa; Nematoda; Chromadorea; Rhabditida; Rhabditidae
Description: cbn-miR-230
Gene: cbn-miR-230
Source: miRBase by way of RNAcentral
GUAUUAGUUGUGUGACCAGGAGA